This 611-nucleotide small RNA is filed under the name Drosophila pseudoobscura pseudoobscura. Its description in RNAcentral is "GA32298". The record is from RNAcentral. Lineage: Eukaryota; Metazoa; Arthropoda; Insecta; Diptera; Drosophilidae.
CCAUCUCAUCCUCUCUCUCCAUCUCUUCCUCUCUCUCUGUGUUUUUCCCCAAUAGAUUUUUACAGAUUCCAUUUGACAAGCAAAACUAAAUGGAAAUUUUUCUAAAUCAAAUUUACGUUGUAGCAUUUUUUCUAUACGAGGAUUUUGUCGGUUUUUUUUGGGUUAGUCAUGGCUUGCGGAGCAAAACAACAGAUUUUAAUCACCUUAAUUAGUUUACGGUUGCGAUUUCGCAAAAACGAAACAAAGUGAAACCGAAAAAUGUAGACCAAAAAUAAGGGCGAAAAAAGAAACUUCCGAGAAGUCGGGGAUUCGAAUACUCUUUGUUUUGGGUUUCUGCCAUUCGUUUUUAUGAGCUAUUUGGAACCUUUAUCCAACUUUUCCUUAAAAUUGUGGACGCUAUUCCGAUGACAUCUGUAUGGAUCUUGGACACCUAUGGAACCAUUUGAAUGAGCGGUCCAGUGGAUAAGACCUUCCUCGGAUAAAGGGCAUCGAGAUGGGUGAAAAGUAAGACUAACAUCUCCAGCAACCAUUUGCUGGGAUGAAAAAUUGCUUUGGCAAACAAGUUUGCACAUGUUGCAGCGGGCAGCGUGCAGCGUGCAACGUGCAACCUG